UUGCACUAGUCCCGGCCUGC
RNAcentral lists this microRNA (20 nucleotides) under Drosophila ananassae. Its description in RNAcentral is "miR-92b-RA". RNAcentral also lists the same sequence under 4 other names. The record is from RNAcentral. Lineage: Eukaryota; Metazoa; Arthropoda; Insecta; Diptera; Drosophilidae.